AACGAACGCUGGCGGCAUGCCUAACACAUGCAAGUCGAACGAGACCUUCGGGUCUAGUGGCGCACGGGUGCGUAACGCGUGGGAACCUGCCCUUAGGUUCGGAAUAACUCCCCGAAAGGGGUGCUAAUACCGGAUAAUGUCUUCGGACCAAAGAUUUAGCGCCGUUGGAUGGGCCCUGGUUGGAUUAGCUAGUUGGUGGGGUAAAAGCCUACCAAGGCUAUGAUGGGUAGCUGGUCUGAGAGGAUGACCGGCCACACUGGGACGGAGAGACGGCCCAGACUCCUACGGGAGGCAGCAGUGGGGAAUAUUGCACAAUGGGCGGAAGCCUGAUGCAGCAACGCCGCGUGCGGGAUGACGGCCGUCGGGGUGUAAACCGCUUUCGCCUGUGACGAAGCGGGAGUGACGGUAAUGGGUAAAGAAGCACCGGCUAACUACGUG
RNAcentral lists this ribosomal RNA (438 nucleotides) under uncultured bacterium. Its description in RNAcentral is "partial 16S ribosomal RNA". It matches the Rfam family "Bacterial small subunit ribosomal RNA", at positions 29 to 507 of the family's 1533-position model. The record is from RNAcentral.